UUGGUCAGUAAAAUAAGUGGUUUCAAACCAGUUGAAAGACCCCUGUCUCUAUUUCAUAUCCAUCCCUCCCCCUUUACCCCCUCUCUCUCUCUCCUUUCCCCUCUCCUCUUCCUCCUCGUUCCCUCUCUUCCUCCUCGUUCCCUCUCUCUCUUCCUCCUCGUUCCCUCUCUCUCUUCCUCCUCGUUCCCUCUCUCCUCCUCCUCGUUCCCUCUCUCUCCUCCUCCUCAUUCCCUCUCUUUCUUCCUCCUCAUUCCCUCUCUCUCCUCCUCCUCAUUCCCUCUCUCUCUUCCUCCUCGUUCCCUCUCUCUCUUCCUCCUCGUUCCCUCUCUCUCUCUCCUUUCCCCUCUCUCUCUUCCUCCUUCCCUCUCUCUCUCUACCUCCUCGUUCCCUCUCUCUCCUCCUCCUCAUUCCCUCUCUCUCUUCCUCCUCGUUCCCUCUCUCUCCUCCUCCUCCUCCUCCUCCUCGUUCCCUCUCUCUCCUCCUCCUCCUCGUUCCCUCUCUCUCUCUCUCUCCUUUCCCCUCUCCUCUUCCUGCUCGUUCCCCCUCUCUCUUCCUCCUCGUUCCCCCUCUCUUCCUCGUUCCCUCUCUCUCUUCCUCCUCGUUCUCUCUCUCUCAUCCUCCUCGUUCCCCCUCUCUUCCUCCUCGUUCCCUCUCUCUCAUCCUCCUCAUUCCCUCUCUCUCCCUCCCUCCUUCUUCCAUCCCUCUCUUCCUCCUCGUUCCCUCUCUCUCAUCCUCCUCGUUCCCUCUCUCUCCCUCCCUCCUUCUUCCAUCCCUCUCUUCCUCCUCAUUCCCUCUCUCUCUUCCUCCUCGUUCCCUCUCUCUCUUCCUCCUCGUUCCCUCUCUCUCUCUUCCUCCUCGUUCCCUCUCUCUUCCUCCUCGUUCCCUCUCUCUCUCUUCCUCCCCGUUUCCUCUCUCUCUCCUCCUCCUCCUCGUUCCCUCUCUCUCUUCCUCCUCAUUCCCUCUCUCUCUUCCUCCUCGUUCCCUCUCUCUCUUCCUCCUCGUUCCCUCUCUCUCCUCCUCCUCCUCCUCGUUCCCUCUCUCUUCCUCCUCGUUCCCUCUCUCUCUUCCUCCUCGUUCCCUCUCUCUCUUCCUCCUCGUUCCCUCUCUCUCUUCCUCCUUGUUCCCUCUCUCUCUUCCUCCUCAUUCCCUCUCUCCUCUACUGAACACAAUCUCAACUCCUCUUUAUCAGCACUUAUUUAA
This 1200-nucleotide long non-coding RNA is filed under the name Oncorhynchus kisutch (coho salmon). Its description in RNAcentral is "lncRNA (ENSOKIG00005035571.1)". The record is from RNAcentral. Lineage: Eukaryota; Metazoa; Chordata; Actinopteri; Salmoniformes; Salmonidae.